RNAcentral lists this ribosomal RNA (423 nucleotides) under uncultured bacterium. RNAcentral describes it as "partial 16S ribosomal RNA". It matches the Rfam family "Bacterial small subunit ribosomal RNA", at positions 360 to 775 of the family's 1533-position model. The record is from RNAcentral.
AAUCUUCCACAAUGGGCGAAAGCCUGAUGGAGCAACGCCGCGGGAGUGAAGAAGUAUUUCGGAUCGUAAAACUCUGUUGUAAGGGAAGAACAAGUGCCGUAGUAACUGGCGGCACCUUGACGGUACCUUAUUAGAAAGCCACGGCUAACUACGUGCCACCAGCCGCGGUAAUACGUAGGUGGCAAGUGUUGUCCGGAAUUAUUGGGCGUAAAGCGCGCGCAGACGGUUUCUUAAGUCUGAUGUGAAAGCACCCGGCUCAGCCGGGGAAGGUCAUUGGAAACUAGAGAACUUGAGUGCAGAAGAGGAAAGUGGAAUUAAAAGUGUAACGGUGAAAUGCGUAGAGAUUUGGAGGAACACCAGUGGCGAAGGCGACUUUCUGGUCUGUAACUGACGCUGAGGCGCGAAAGCGUGGGGAGCAAACAG